RNAcentral lists this ribosomal RNA (460 nucleotides) under uncultured bacterium. RNAcentral's name for it is "partial 16S ribosomal RNA". It matches the Rfam family "Bacterial small subunit ribosomal RNA", at positions 338 to 795 of the family's 1533-position model. The record is from RNAcentral.
CCUACGGGGGGCAGCAGUGAGGAAUAUUGGUCAAUGGACGCAAGUCUGAACCAGCCAUGCCGCGUGCAGGAAGACGGCCCUAUGAGUUGUAAACUGCUUUUGUACGAGGGUAAACGCAGAUACGUGUAUCUUUCUGAACGUAUUGUACGAUUAAGGAUCGGCUAACUCCGUGCCAGCAGCCGCGGUAAUAUGGAGGAUUCAAGCGUUAUCCGGAUUUAUUGGGUUUAAAGGGUGCCUAGGCGGUCGGGUAAGUUAGAUGUGAAAUCCCGAGGCUCAACUUCGGAAUUGCCUCUGAUACUGUUCGGCUAGAGAGUAGUUGCGGUAGGCGGAAUGUAUGGUGUAGCGGUGAAAUGCUUAGAGAUCAUACAGAACACCGAUUGCGAAGGCAGCUUACCAAGCUACUUCUGACGUUGAGGGACGAAAGCGUGGGGAGCAAACAGGAUUAGAUACCCCUGUAGUC